Molecule: ribosomal RNA, 252 nt
Filed under: uncultured bacterium
Lineage: Bacteria
Description: partial 16S ribosomal RNA
Rfam family: Bacterial small subunit ribosomal RNA
Source: RNAcentral
UACAGAGGUCUCAAGCGUUGUCGGAUUCCUUGGGCGUAAAGGGUGCGUAGGCGGCGCGGUAAGUUGGGUGUGAAAUCUCGGGGCUUAACUCCGAAACUGCAUUCGAUACUGCCGUGCUUGAGGACUGGAGAGGAGACUGGAAUUUACGGUGUAGCAGUGAAAUGCGUAGAUAUCGUAAGGAACGCCAGUGGCGAAAGCGAGUCUCUGGGCAGCAUCUGACACUGAGGCACGAAGGCCAGGGGAGCAAACGGG